This 735-nucleotide ribosomal RNA is filed under the name Campylobacter ureolyticus. Its description in RNAcentral is "bacterial SSU rRNA". It matches the Rfam family "Bacterial small subunit ribosomal RNA", at positions 28 to 776 of the family's 1533-position model. The record is from RNAcentral. Lineage: Bacteria; Pseudomonadati; Campylobacterota; Epsilonproteobacteria; Campylobacterales; Campylobacteraceae.
GAUGAACGCUGACAGAAUGCUUAACACAUGCAAGUCAACUUGAAUUUGGGUUUUUAACUUAGAUUUGGGUGGCGGACGGGUGAGUAACGCGUAAAGAACUUGCCUCACAGCUAGGGACAACAUUUAGAAAUGAAUGCUAAUACCUGAUAUUAUGAUUUUAAGGCAUCUUAGAAUUAUGAAAGCUAUAAGCACUGUGAGAGAGCUUUGCGUCCCAUUAGCUAGUUGGAGAGGUAACAGCUCACCAAGGCGAUGAUGGGUAGCCGGCCUGAGAGGGUGAACGGCCACAAGGGGACUGAGACACGGCCCUUACUCCUACGGGAGGCAGCAGUGGGGAAUAUUGGACAAUGGGCGAAAGCCUGAUGCAGCGACGCCGCGUGAGUGAGGAAGUAUUUCGGUAUGUAAAGCUCUAUCAGCAGGGAAGAAAGAAAUGACGGUACCUGAGUAAGAAGCUCCGGCUAAAUACGUGCCGGCAGCCGCGGUAAUACGUAUGGAGCAAGCGUUAUCCGGAUUUACUGGGUGUAAAGGGAGCGUAGGCGGCAGAGCAAGUCUGAUGUGAAAGCCCGGGGCUCAACCCCGGUAGUGCAUUGGAAACUGUUCAGCUCGAGUGUCGGAGGGGUAAGCGGAAUUCCUGGUGUAGCGGUGAAAUGCGUAGAUAUCAGGAAGAACACCGGAGGCGAACGCGGCUUACUGGACGAUUACUGACGCUGAGGCUCGAAAGCGUGGGGAGCGAACAGG